This 138-nucleotide small nucleolar RNA is filed under the name Ornithorhynchus anatinus (platypus). Lineage: Eukaryota; Metazoa; Chordata; Mammalia; Monotremata; Ornithorhynchidae. The record is from RNAcentral.
CCCUUCUCAGGAUGGCACCUGGAGAGCUUCCAGGACUCUAUCAGUCUCAGCUAAGGGAGGGAGAGUCAAGCAGAGGCAUAUCCAUUCCAUUUCUAGCUGGGGCAGUGACUAGUGAGUGGAAGGCAAUCUGCUACAAGG